UUAGAGUUUGAUCCUGGCUCAGGACGAACGCUGGCGGCGUGCCUAAUACAUGCAAGUCGAGCGGACAGAUGGGAGCUUGCUCCCUGAUGUUAGCGGCGGACGGGUGAGUAACACGUGGGUAACCUGCCUGUAAGACUGGGAUAACUCCGGGAAACCGGGGCUAAUACCGGAUGGUUGUUUGAACCGCAUGGUUCAGACAUAAAAGGUGGCUUCGGCUAUCACUUACAGAUGGACCCGCGGCGCAUUAGCUAGUUGGUGAGGUAACGGCUCACCAAGGCGACGAUGCGUAGCCGACCUGAGAGGGUGAUCGGCCACACUGGGACUGAGACACGGCCCAGACUCCUACGGGAGGCAGCAGUAGGGAAUCUUCCGCAAUGGACGAAAGUCUGACGGAGCAACGCCGCGUGAGUGAUGAAGGUUUUCGGAUCGUAAAGCUCUGUUGUUAGGGAAGAACAAGUGCCGUUCAAAUAGGGCGGCACCUUGACGGUACCUAACCAGAAAGCCACGGCUAACUACGUGCCAGCAGCCGCGGUAAUACGUAGGUGGCAAGCGUUGUCCGGAAUUAUUGGGCGUAAAGGGCUCGCAGGCGGUUUCUUAGUCUGAUGUGAAAGCCCCCGGCUCACCGGGGAGGGUCAUUGGAAACUGGGGAACUUGAGUGCAAAAGAGGAGAGUGGAAUUCCACGUGUAGCGGUGAAAUGCGUAGAGAUGUGGAGGAACACCAGUGGCGAAGGCGACUCUCUGGUCUGUAACUGACGCUGAGGAGCGAAAGCGUGGGGAGCGAACAGGAUUAGAUACCCUGGUAGUCCACGCCGUAAACGAUGAGUGCUAAGUGUUAGGGGGUUUCCGCCCCUUUUNNAUGUGGUUUAAUUCGAAGCAACGCGAAGAACCUUACAGGUCUUGACAUCCUCUGACAAUCCUAGAGAUAGGACGUCCCCUUCGGGGGCAGAGUGACAGGUGGUGCAUGGUUGUCGUCAGCUCGUGUCGUGAGAUGUUGGGUUAAGUCCCGCAACGAGCGCAACCCUUGAUCUUAGUUGCCAGCAUUCAGUUGGGCACUCUAAGGUGACUGCCGGUGACAAACCGGAGGAAGGUGGGGAUGACGUCAAAUCAUCAUGCCCCUUAUGACCUGGGCUACACACGUGCUACAAUGGGCAGAACAAAGGGCAGCGAAACCGCGAGGUUAAGCCAAUCCCACAAAUCUGUUCUCAGUUCGGAUCGCAGUCUGCAACUCGACUGCGUGAAGCUGGAAUCGCUAGUAAUCGCGGAUCAGCAUGCCGCGGUGAAUACGUUCCCGGGCCUUGUACACACCGCCCGUCACACCACGAGAGUUUGUAACACCCGAAGUCGGUGAGGUAACCUUUUAGGAGCCAGCCGCCGAAGGUGGGACAGAUGAUUGGGGUGAAGUCGUAACAAGGUAGCCGUAU
This 1421-nucleotide ribosomal RNA is filed under the name Bacillus sp. ABPL 104. RNAcentral's name for it is "partial 16S ribosomal RNA". It matches the Rfam family "Bacterial small subunit ribosomal RNA". Lineage: Bacteria; Bacillati; Bacillota; Bacilli; Caryophanales; Bacillaceae. The record is from RNAcentral.